CAAGGAUCGAUAAGUAUGUAGCCGAGAAGUGACAAAAUAAACAUACGCACGUAUGGGUCGGCAAGUUUAAAGAUGAGACCUUAACACAAACUUAGUUUGUUAUUCAGAGAUAGCCGAUAUGAAUCUUGGAGGAACGUGGGAUGGCCAACACCAACUGGACAAGAUAUGGCAUCCAAAUACCAGAACAGAUUUCAUAACAGCAGCCUUGACUUUGAGCCCACGUUCCCGAAUGCAAGUAUUAGAUACGUCUCCACCUGACCUUUCUACAUACUAAAUUUGGGCGUUUUUGUUGGUAAUAAACUAGUUUCGGUUUUAUGUUGGUUUCGCGAGCGGUGUCAUUGCUGUGACAGUUUCAAACAAAAUAAAAACCACUUUCAUCUUUUGUUUUACGAAACCGAAACUGUCGAACUAUCGCAAAACCCACCGGAGUCGAUUUCGUUCCAUCCGAAAACUAGCUCACUUGAAAAAAAACCCACAAACAUGGCGGAGAGUGAUUCACCAGGUGUGUUGGAAUACCAUCAAGUUUAAACAGGCAAACGACUAUCUGCGGUAAUAUUAUUUUGAAUAUAUAUAGGAAUAAUGGCUAUAUGCGGAAGCUCCAUCAUGUUGUUGAAGCUGUACACAAAACCAUGCGUUUGCUACAUUAAGCCAAGCUUUCGAAACAGGUUUUCAAACCGCCGACACACUCGGACGCGACACCCUCGGACGCGACACCCUCGGAACCAACACUGAAACUAGUGUGGUAUGAACAGAAACACCCCAAGUUUCAUUACUUAACUUGAUAUCAAGGUAUUGAGCUGAAACCGUUUAUGUUUAAAAGUGACUAACUUUGACCCCACAUAUCCUUAGUGCAAUCUCAAGCUACGUCUAAUUUAACGAGUUGGACAAAAUAUUUGGACUGUCCAUUCCUCAAUUAUUGGACAAUUAGUAGAAAUAAAGUACGAAUCGCAGUCCAAUAACCCGUAUUAUACUAUAGAGUACAAAAAGAACAUGGAUGCCGUCAAAAACAUGUUUUAAAACCGAUGAUUACAUUGGUAUAAAUAUAACACACUUGAAACCAUUAACGCUGUAUUUUUUAUUUGUCUCCUGCCGACUUUACACUAUUUUUUUUGUCGUAGAGUGGAUUUAUUUUCGUAAUUUCCUAUUACAUGUUCAUUUUUAAGUGAACAUGUUAAAGUUUGAACUUUUUUUUAAACUUUCUACAAAAGUGAUAUAUCCUGAUACAGGUCGGUUUGGUACAGAAUCCCGGUUAUCAAAAAAAAAAAAUGGGAAAAAGGAAAGUUAUGUCUUUCUAUCAACUCUAUAGUUUUGAAGAUGUAAGUGGAA
Long non-coding RNA from Mya arenaria, 1326 nucleotides. RefSeq lists it as uncharacterized. NCBI's taxonomy places the organism in Eukaryota, Metazoa, Mollusca, Bivalvia, Myida, Myidae. The record is from RefSeq and is a predicted model, not a curated record. The transcript is spliced from 3 exons.